RNAcentral lists this long non-coding RNA (594 nucleotides) under Coffea arabica (coffee). RNAcentral's name for it is "long non-coding RNA (CARA_LNC004656)". Lineage: Eukaryota; Viridiplantae; Streptophyta; Magnoliopsida; Gentianales; Rubiaceae. The record is from RNAcentral.
AUAACAUGUGCAGAAUACAGGCACCAUAGUCACAAGUCUACUCUCUGGUACCAGCUACUCCACACUUUCCAUGGUGUUCUGCAGUAUUAAUUAACGCUGGUGAGACUGAAACACGCUGCAGCACUCUUCAACUCAUUCUCAGCUACAUGCUCAACAGAUUGUGUUGUAUCCUUCAAUGAUGAUUCAGAGCUGCAAAUUCAUAGACACCUCAUGAUGAGACCAAAUAGAAAUGUUCUUUCUUGUUGUAAAAUCUGAAUCAUGCUCUCAAAAUUGAUAAAACGACAUAGCGAUUCAUUGUGUUUAUUUACCUCGACUCAUAUGCUUCCUUGGAAGCGAUAUAAGACUGUCUAUCAUCAAUUGUAUCAAAGAAUGGGUGCAUUUCAUCAUAUUCUUGUGUGCCACAAUCUUGUUGGAUUAUUAAGGGCUGCGAGUUUAUCAACUGAGAUUGCAUAACCAUUGGAUUGCUAUUAAUAUUACUACUGCUAUUGUUGUAGGGCGGCUGUUGAACCCAUAAAGAGUUUACAGCAUUGUUUUCCUUGGAAUCCAUGUAAGUUGCAUUGUAAUUGGCAGCGUUGGCACUAUUGGAGGAGUAAG